Molecule: ribosomal RNA, 292 nt
Filed under: uncultured bacterium
Lineage: Bacteria
Description: partial 16S ribosomal RNA
Rfam family: Archaeal small subunit ribosomal RNA
Source: RNAcentral
GUGCCAGCCGCCGCGGUACUACCGGCAGCUCGAGUGAUGUCCAAUAUUAUUGGGCCUAAAGCGUCCGUAGCUGGCCGCGCAAGUCCGUCGGGAAAUCCACCUGCCCAACAGGUGGGCGUCCGGCGGAAACUGUGUGGCUUGGAACCGGAAGGCUCAGAGGGUACGUCCGGGGUAGGAGUGAAAUCCCGUAAUCCCGGACGGACCACCGAUGGCGAAAGCACUUCGAGAAAACGGAUCCGACAGUGAGGGACGAAAGCCAGGGUCUCGAACCGGAUUAGAUACCCGGGUGUCC